GGGCCUAUGGUCUAGUGGCUAUGACAACUCCCUUACACGGAGUAGAUCCCCGGUUCGAACAGAUUUUUGCGAAAAAUCUGGUAAAAAGCGUUCAAGUGAGAUUUUCAAUCUCAUGAACCUUACGUUCAGUCGCAAAAUAACGAAAGUCCGGGUGGGCCCA
This 160-nucleotide transfer RNA is filed under the name Candidatus Woesearchaeota archaeon. RNAcentral's name for it is "tRNA-Val". The record is from RNAcentral. Lineage: Archaea; Nanobdellati; Candidatus Woesearchaeota.